GUGCAUUAGCUAGUUGGUAAGGUAACGGCUUACCAAGGCGACGAUGCAUAGCCGAGUUGAGAGACUGAUCGGCCACAUUGGGACUGAGACACGGCCCAAACUCCUACGGGAGGCAGCAGUAGGGAAUCUUCCACAAUGGACGCAAGUCUGAUGGAGCAACGCCGCGUGAGUGAAGAAGGUUUUCGGAUCGUAAAGCUCUGUUGUUGGUGAAGAAGGAUAGAGGUAGUAACUGGCCUUUAUUUGACGGUAAUCAACCAGAAAGUCACGGCUAACUACGUGCCAGCAGCCGCGGUAAUACGUAGGUGGCAAGCGUUGUCCGGAUUUAUUGGGCGUAAAGCGAGCGCAGGCGGAAAAAUAAGUCUAAUGUGAAAGCCCUCGGCUUAACCGAGGAACUGCAUCGGAAACUGUUUUUCUUGAGUGCAGAAGAGGAGAGUGGAACUCCAUGUGUAGCGGUGGAAUGCGUAGAUAUAUGGAAGAACACCAGUGGCGAAGGCGGCUCUCUGGUCUGCAACUGACGCUGAGGCUCGAAA
This 530-nucleotide ribosomal RNA is filed under the name uncultured Bacilli bacterium. Its description in RNAcentral is "bacterial SSU rRNA". It matches the Rfam family "Bacterial small subunit ribosomal RNA", at positions 236 to 758 of the family's 1533-position model. Lineage: Bacteria; Bacillati; Bacillota; Bacilli. The record is from RNAcentral.